RNAcentral lists this ribosomal RNA (447 nucleotides) under uncultured bacterium. Its description in RNAcentral is "SSU rRNA". It matches the Rfam family "Bacterial small subunit ribosomal RNA", at positions 26 to 518 of the family's 1533-position model. The record is from RNAcentral.
AGAGCGAACGCUGGCGGCAGGCUUAACACAUGCAAGUCGAGCGGGCGUAGCAAUACGUCAGCGGCAGACGGGUGAGUAACGCGUGGGAACAUACCUUUUGGUUCGGAACAACACAGGGAAACCUGUGCUAAUACCGGAUAAGCCCUUACGGGGAAAGAUUUAUCGCCGAAAGAUUGGCCCGCGUCUGAUUAGCUAGUUGGUGAGGUAACGGCUCACCAAGGCGACGAUCAGUAGCUGGUCUGAGAGGAUGAUCAGCCACAUUGGGACUGAGACACGGCCCAAACUCCUACGGGAGGCAGCAGUGGGGAAUAUUGGACAAUGGGCGCAAGCCUGAUCCAGCCAUGCCGCGUGAGUGAUGAAGGCCCUAGGGUUGUAAAGCUCUUUUGUGCGGGAAGAUAAUGACGGUACCGCAAGAAUAAGCCCGGCUAACUUCGUGCCAGCAGCCGC